Long non-coding RNA from Rhincodon typus (whale shark), 1897 nucleotides. RefSeq lists it as uncharacterized. Lineage: Eukaryota; Metazoa; Chordata; Chondrichthyes; Orectolobiformes; Rhincodontidae. The record is from RefSeq and is a predicted model, not a curated record. The transcript is spliced from 3 exons.
CGUCACGCACGGCGGCGCGCACAGCCGGCAAUCCAUCAGCAGGGGGGGCAAUGCCCAGCCGGGCUCUUCCACCAGCAGAGGCUUCACCGACUGCACAAAUGCUCACAGCCGAGAUUUAGGACGGGAUUGUACAGGAUAGAUGGCGUAGUUCAUGAUUGGCAUGGUUUCACGAGGGGAAAAGAAAUUCUUCGAGCGCUGAAGUCUAGAAACCACACCAAAGGGAGAGAAACUGCAUACUCGAAGCGCACAUUUUCAGCUACAAUUUAGUCAGUAUAAUUUGAAAGCCAGAUGGAAGGACAAUGAUGACUUUAAUGUAACUCUACACAUUCAGCCUUGCUGUAAAUUUCAUAAUUUUCAGCAAGAUACCUUCCUGAAGAGUUUCAACAUCAUAUUUGGAAAUAUAAGCUUCCCGAGUUGAAUGCCACACAUUGUACCAGCUGACAGGAACACAGGGUCCACUGGAUAUUUGUGAUUGCUUACUGAUAAUGCUGGCUGUGAACAGUGCUUCAUCCAUUGUUGCAUAAGAUGGCUAAUAUUUUGCUUAUUAAAAACAAAUGCAUGCAUAGAUCACUCUCUCUGAGGCCCAUUAGAGUACAGAAUGUUAAUCUGCCUUCCUCUUAAAAUCCAGGGACUUUUCAAUCAUUAUUCACUUCUACUCGAUCAACCUUGUCUUUUUGCACGCUCUUGGUAAAUAUUCGUCUCUAGAUUUUGCCCUUAAUCUAAAGUCUUCAUUUAAGAGAGGUAGAGUCAUCUCCGUGCAUCCAGGAUCAUAGGAAUGAUAAAAUGAUUACAAUGCUAAAGGAGGUCAUUCAUCCCUUUUGUCUAUAUCAGCUCUCUGCAAGAACAACAUUGCUAUUUAUUCCCACUGUUCUGCCUUUUCCAUGUGGCAUGACAAUUAUUUUCUCUUCAGAUGCUUAUCUAAUUGCCUUUUGAAAGAUACAACAUAAUCUGCCUCCACUAAACUCUCAGUUAGUGCAUUAUAGAUAUUAACCACUUGCUACAUAGAAAAGGUUUUUUUUUCAGGUCACCAUUGCUUCUUUUGUCAUUCUCUGUCUCUCCAACUCUGUCUAGAUCACUCAUGAUAUUGAACAAUCUUUUAAACCUACUCUCAACCUUUUCUUCUUUUCUCUUCUCUUCUCUAAGGAGAAUAACCCUAAUUUCUCCACUCUAUCGUCAUAUCUGAAAUCUCUCAUCCCCAAAACCCUUCUCAUAAGGCUUUCUCUAUCAUCUUUAAAGCCUUCACAUUCUUCCUAAAGUCCCAGAAUAGGAUACAAACUCCAGAUAAGAGUGAACCAGUAUUUUAUAACAGUUUACCAUAACUUCCUUGCUUUUGUUUGCUACACCUCUAUUUGAAGUGCCCAGGAUCCGAUACCAUUUGCCUUUUUAAUCACUUUCCCAACCUGUUUUGCCACCUUCAGCGGUUUCCAAAUAUGAAUCUCCAAAUUCUCAGUCCCUGCAUCCCUUUAGAAUUGUACCCUUAAGAUUCUAUAGUCUCUCUUCAUUCUUCAUAUAAAAAUAAAUCACUUUACACUUCUCUGCAUUACAUUUCAUUUAUUUUGUCCAUGUUUGUUCCCUCUUGAAGUCUAUCAUUAUCCUACUCGUUCACAAUACUACAAGUUUUGUGUCAUCCACAGAUUUUAUAAUUGCACUAUGUAAGUUCAGUAAUUCUUGUACCAACACUUAAGGAAUCCUGUGAUGAUUCGAAUUAGGUCGUCCAGGUGGACCUCAUAUUCUAUGAGUUCCCUUAUUUGAGUGUUAACCUGGUCCUAUCAGGGUGUCCUGACUUAUGGAUAUAAACAAGAGUGGUAGGGGUUCUGUUCACUCUAGGAGCCAGCUCUGAGCUAGCUGGGUGAGUGUUAUGUACUGUGCAAACUAAAUGAAGGAUGACGUAGUGACA